RNAcentral lists this ribosomal RNA (670 nucleotides) under uncultured bacterium. RNAcentral's name for it is "bacterial SSU rRNA". It matches the Rfam family "Bacterial small subunit ribosomal RNA", at positions 94 to 803 of the family's 1533-position model. The record is from RNAcentral.
AGUGGCAGACGGGUGAGUAACAUGUGGGUAUCUACCCUUUGGCCUGGAAUAACACGAGGAAACUUGUGCUAAUACCGGAUAAGUCUUUACGGAGAAAGCUUUAUGCACCAUUGGAUGAGCCCGCACUUGAUUAGUUUGUUGGUAGGGUAAUGGCCUACCAAGACUAUGAUCAAUAGCUGAUUUGAGAGGAUGAUCAGCCACAUUGGGACUGAGACACGGCCCAAACUCCUACGGGAGGCAGCAGUGGGGAAUCUUGCACAAUGGAGGAAACUCUGAUGCAGCGAUGCCGCGUGAGUGAAGAAGGCCUUUGGGUUGUAAAGCUCUUUCGUCGGGGAAGAAAAUGACUGUACCCGAAUAAGAAGGUCCGGCUAACUUCGUGCCAGCAGCCGCGGUAAUACGAAGGGACCUAGCGUAGUUCGGAAUUACUGGGCUUAAAGAGUUCGUAGGUGGUUGAAAAAGUUGGUGGUGAAAUCCCAGAGCUUAACUCUGGAACUGCCAUCAAAACUUUUCAGCUAGAGUAUGAUAGAGGAAAGCAGAAUUUCUAGUGUAGAGGUGAAAUUCGUAGAUAUUAGAAAGAAUACCAAUUGCGAAAGCAGCUUUCUGGAUCAUUACUGACACUGAGGACGAAAGCAUGGUAGCGAGAGGAUUAGAUACCUCGUAGUCAUGCCGA